CACGGGGGGAGUAAGCGUUGUUCGGAAUCACUGGGCGUAAAGGGCGUGCAGGCGGUCAGGUAAGUGGGAUGUGAAAGCCCUCGGCUCACCCGAGGAUCUGCAUUCCAAACUGCUUGGCUUGAGUAUGGGAGAGGAUGAGGGAAUUCCUGGUGUAGCGGUGAAAUGCGUAGAUAUCAGGAGGAACACCGGUGGCGAAAGCGCUCAUCUGGCCCAAUACUGACGCUGAGGCGCGAAAGCUAGGGGAGCAAACGGG
Molecule: ribosomal RNA, 253 nt
Filed under: uncultured prokaryote
Description: partial 16S ribosomal RNA
Rfam family: Bacterial small subunit ribosomal RNA
Source: RNAcentral